CUCCAAUCCUCCCAUGAAAAUUUUGAAGGGUAAAACCUUUUCUCUCUUUUUGCUUAUAAUUUUUCUUUUCAUUCAUUCUCUUUUUUGGAGAUUUGAGGGGAACGAGAACACUUGAGAGAGAGCAGAGGGGUUUCUUAAAUUCUGGUUGAGGUUUGUGCAAGUUGUGGCAAUUUGAGUUGGUCCCUUGAGAGCUUUAUCUUGGUAGAAGAGAUCUGAGGGAAAGAAGAAUACCUGAGAGAG
This 240-nucleotide long non-coding RNA is filed under the name Elaeis guineensis (African oil palm). RNAcentral's name for it is "long non-coding RNA (EGUI_LNC038804)". Lineage: Eukaryota; Viridiplantae; Streptophyta; Magnoliopsida; Arecales; Arecaceae. The record is from RNAcentral.